GGAAGCGUGCCCGAAAAACAAGGACCCCUUUGAUGUGGGGGCACAUAGGGGAUCAUACCCCUCACUUCCU
This 70-nucleotide transfer RNA is filed under the name Heleophryne purcelli (Cape ghost frog). RNAcentral describes it as "tRNA-Ile". The record is from RNAcentral. Lineage: Eukaryota; Metazoa; Chordata; Amphibia; Anura; Heleophrynidae.